Nyctereutes procyonoides (raccoon dog) is the source of this 476-nucleotide long non-coding RNA. RefSeq lists it as uncharacterized. The transcript has 2 exons. Lineage: Eukaryota; Metazoa; Chordata; Mammalia; Carnivora; Canidae. The record is from RefSeq and is a predicted model, not a curated record.
UGGAAGAGCGGCGGCCCGCCCGGGGACUGCGGGUGCGACGGCUCGGGCGACGGGGCCCGGCAGAGGCGCAGGUUUCUAGCAGCAAGCUAGCCCUAGGUCCUGGCCUCCUGGGAGGGCUACAACGGAAGAAGGAGGAUGUCAUCAGUGGGCAGUGGCCUCCACCCCUCUGUGCUGUUCUGGUCCCACCCUAGCCAUGGUCACACAGCCUGCAUAUUCUACAAAGCCCUCCUUGCUGGACUCCUGCUUUGGCCCCCAUCGCCUUGUUCUGGAGACAUCCCAAUGGCACCUGAGUGGCUCAGUCUGUUAAACACCUGCCUUUGGCUCAGGUCACGAUCCCAGGGUCCUGGGAUGGAGCCCCACAUCUGUCUCCCUGCUCAGCAGGGAGUGUGCUUCUCCCUCUCCCUCUGCUGCUCCUCUUGUUUGUUCUCUCUCACUCGCUCACUCUCUCUCAAAUAAAUAAAAUCUUUAAAAAAAUA